GACGAACCGUCCGAACGUUAUUCGGAAUUAUUGGGCUUAAAGGGUGCGUAGGCGGCGCUGUAAGUCGGGUGUGAAAUCCCACGGCUCAACCGUGGAACUGCGCCCGAUACUGCAGUGCUCGAGGGAGACAGAGGUAAGCGGAACUGAUGGUGGAGCGGUGAAAUGCGUUGAUAUCAUCAGGAACACCGGUGGCGAAAGCGGCUUACUGGGUCUCUUCUGACGCUGAGGCACGAAAGCUAGGGUAGCGAACGGGAUUAGAUACCCGUGUAGU
Molecule: ribosomal RNA, 271 nt
Filed under: uncultured prokaryote
Description: partial 16S ribosomal RNA
Rfam family: Bacterial small subunit ribosomal RNA
Source: RNAcentral